UAAGUAGACCGCCUGGGGAGUACGGCCGCAAGGUUAAAACUCAAAUGAAUUGACGGGGGCCCGCACAAGCGGUGGAGCAUGUGGUUUAAUUCGACGCAACGCGAAGAACCUUACCUGGCCUUGACAUGCAGAGAACUUUCCAGAGAUGGAUUGGUGCCUUCGGGAACUCUGACACAGGUGCUGCAUGGCCGUCGUCAGCUCGUGUCGUGAGAUGUUGGGUUAAGUCCCGUAACGAGCGCAACCCCUAUCCCUAGUUGCUAGCAGUUCGGCUGAGAACUCUAGGGAGACUGCCGGUGACAAACCGGAGGAAGGUGGGGAUGACGUCAGGUCAUCAUGGCCCUUACGGCCAGGGCUACACACGUGCUACAAUGGUGCGUACAGAGGGCUGCAAACCCGCGAGGGGGAGCUAAUCUCACAAAACGCAUCGUAGUCCGGAUCGGAGUCUGCAACUCGACUCCGUGAAGUCGGAAUCGCUAGUAAUCGCGAAUCAGAAUGUCGCGGUGAAUACGUUCCCGGGCCUUGUACACACCGCCCGUCACACCAUGGGAGUGGAUUGCACCAGAAGUGGUUAGUCUAACCUUCGGGAGGA
Molecule: ribosomal RNA, 589 nt
Filed under: uncultured bacterium
Lineage: Bacteria
Description: bacterial SSU rRNA
Rfam family: Bacterial small subunit ribosomal RNA
Source: RNAcentral